RNAcentral lists this ribosomal RNA (573 nucleotides) under uncultured Desulfovibrio sp. Its description in RNAcentral is "bacterial SSU rRNA". It matches the Rfam family "Bacterial small subunit ribosomal RNA", at positions 229 to 793 of the family's 1533-position model. The record is from RNAcentral. Lineage: Bacteria; Pseudomonadati; Thermodesulfobacteriota; Desulfovibrionia; Desulfovibrionales; Desulfovibrionaceae.
GUCCGCGUUUCAUUAGCUAGUUGGUGGGGUAACGGCCUACCAAGGCAACGAUGGGUAGCCGAUCUGAGAGGAUGAUCGGCCACACUGGAACUGAAACACGGUCCAGACUCCUACGGGAGGCAGCAGUGGGGAAUAUUGCGCAAUGGGCGAAAGCCUGACGCACCGACCCCGCGUGAGGGAUGAAGGUCUUCGGAUCGUAAACCUCUGUCAGAAGGGAAGAAACUAGGGUGCUCUAAUCAUCAUCCUACUGACGGUACCUUCAAAGGAAGCACCGGCUAACUCCGUGCCAGCAGCCGCGGUAAAUACGGAGGGUGCNAGCGUUAAUCGGAAUCACUGGGCGUAAAGCGCACGUAGGCUGUUAUGUAAGUCAGGGGUGAAAUCCCACGGCUCAACCGUGGAACUGCCCUUGAUACUGCAUGACUUGAAUCCGGGAGAGGGUGGCGGAAUUCCAGGUGUAGGAGUGAAAUCCGUAGAUAUCUGGAGGAACAUCAGUGGCGAAGGCGGCCACCUGGACCGGUAUUGACGCUGAGGUGCGAAAGCGUGGGGAGCAAACAGGAUUAAAUACCCUGGUAG